Molecule: unclassified non-coding RNA, 4468 nt
Filed under: Hevea brasiliensis (rubber tree)
Lineage: Eukaryota; Viridiplantae; Streptophyta; Magnoliopsida; Malpighiales; Euphorbiaceae
Source: RNAcentral
AGGAGGAGGAGGAGGAGGAGGAAUUGAAGUUGCAAGAGAAUGAUGUGGUGGGAAAGGCUUUGCAGAAAUGCGCCAAAAUAUCGGCGGAGCUGAAAAGAGAGCUCUACGGCUCUGCAGUCACUUCGUGUGAGCGGUACGCCGAGGUGGAAGCUUCUUCAGUGAGGAUUGUGACUCAGGUAGUGAAGAUGACUGAAAGUGUGUUUGUGCAUGUGUGGUUACGAGCCUACACAUGCAUGCCUGUGUAAGUGGGCAUGUAGAUGCAUGCACGUGCACAUGCUGGCUAUGCUUGUCCUAUGAUCCCAUAUGAGUGAUAUUGCUGCAGCAUGUGCAGUGGUGGAUUCAGAUUUUCAGCCUGUACUCAAGCCAUAUCAGCUGGUUGGUGUGAACUUUCUUCUUUUGCUGUAUAGAAAGGGCAUUGGAGGAGCCAUAUUGGCAGAUGAGAUGGGGCUUGGGAAGACCAUUCAGGCAAUUACAUAUUUAAUGUUGUUGAAACACUUGAACAAUGACCCCGGUCCACAUUUAAUUGUAUGUCCUGCCUCUUUAUUGGAAAAUUGGGAAAGAGAGCUUAAAAAGUGGUGUCCAUCAUUUUCUGUGCUCCAGUAUCAUGGGGCUACACGAGCUGCCUACUCAAAAGAGUUGAGCUCUUUGGCCAAAGCUGGGUUGCCACCUCCAUUUCAUGUGCUUCUUGUUUGUUACUCACUCUUUGAACGACACAGUGUCCAGCAGAAAGAUGACCGUAAAAUUCUGAAACGGUGGCAAUGGAGCUGUGUCCUUAUGGAUGAAGCACAUGCUUUGAAGGAUAAGAACAGCUAUAGGUGGAAAAACCUGAUGUCAGUUGCAAGAAAUGCAAACCAGCGUCUGAUGCUAACAGGGACACCCCUACAGAAUGAUUUGCAUGAAUUGUGGUCCUUGUUGGAGUUUAUGAUGCCUGAACUUUUUGCUACUGAGGAUGUAGAUUUGAAAAAGCUACUAAACGCAGAAGAUAGGGAUUUAAUUGGUCGAAUGAAGUCCAUCUUGGGACCAUUCAUAUUGAGGCGUUUAAAGUCUGAUGUAAUGCAACAACUUGUUCCAAAGAUACAGCGGGUUAAAUAUGUUUUCAUGGAAAAGCAUCAGGAAGAUGCUUACAAAGAAGCCAUAGAGGAAUAUCGUGCAGCUUCACGUGCUCGUAUUGCAAAGCUUUCGGAUGUUGACGUGAAUGCUAUUUUUGGAAUUCUUCCUCGGCGGCAGAUCUCAAAUUACUUUGUUCAGUUUCGCAAGAUAGCAAAUCAUCCAUUAUUAGUGAGGCGAAUUUACUUCGAUGAGGAUGUUGUUCGUUUUGCUAAGAAGUUGCAUCCAAUUGGUGCUUUUGGCUUUGAAUGUACCUUGGAAAGAGUUAUUGAAGAACUCAAGACCUAUAGUGACUUUUCAAUUCACCAGCUCUGAUAGGAUGUAUGUCCCAGAAACCUCUAUUUCAGUUCACAUGAAAGAGAUGUCGCAAGUUAGCUGUUUCUACGCAUGGAUUGACCUGUAGCAGCACCGGUGCACUAGAGCAUAAAGGGUAGAUGGUGUAGCCAGGGUAGUUGGGAGGGGAUUCCAGACCUGAGGGCUGCUAUCAUAUAUGGUUUUGAUAAAGAAGCACUAUCCUUUCUCAAAGCUUGGAUUCAUUACCACAAAUGGUUGAGAGUCUUAAUAAUAACUCAAGUGGAUGCUGAAUGCCUGAACUUUUAAGUUCUUUACUUAUUGGGCAUUAAAAAAAAGAAAAAGAGAUGAAAUCCUUUUGUUAGAAAAAUAUUUAUUAUAUUAUUUUGCAGAAAAAUGAAAUUACAACUGUUUCCUCUGUAAAUACAUUAAAUAGCCAACCAAGGUGACAACCAAAGUGAAGGAUUUCCUAUAUAUUCAAGUUUUUUGAUACUAACAUCUGCUGGAUCAUACCUUGCUCUGUAGCUUAUGUUAGUAUAAAAUGAUUAUCACAUAGCAAUUACUUAAUUAAUUACUUUUCUCAUUAGAAGUUGGUUUUCAGCAUAAAGUGUACAUCAAUUAAGAUUAUGUGUGAUCAAGUUAUGGUUAGUUUCCACAAGUAAUGUGGAAGAAGUAAAAAUAAUACAGUUAGUAUAUAGGGCUAGCCAUGCUAUUCAUCAGUGGCUGCUUCUUGAUAUCAAAUGUUAUCCUCUGGGCUGGGACCAUAAUUCAUUUUGUAAUGAAUGAGAAAUGAAUUAUCUAAGUUCACCUUAAUAAUCAAUUCAUGCAUAUUUUAUGUAAUUAUUACUACAUGGUAAUGAUGCCAGUGCUAUUUAGCAUGACCUGACCAUGAGAGGAUGAUUGAUGAAAAGAGAACAAAUGUUUUUCUAUUUUUAUACUAUGUAAUACUAAAUCUUGAAAGUCAAUUCCAACUAUCCGACCUAACUGUGGAGUUUUUGCUUUGGAGUUUGGUCCCCAGCUGCUGCUUAACAAUUAUAGUGUUGCAAACCCACAGUAGUUAAUUACUAGUUGAGUCGUGUUUCGUAUGUAGUCCUAACCUUUUAUCAUUUUUACGUGAAAUGGUUGCUCUCUGGAAUCUCGUUGCAUGCAUCCGUCAUCAAUAUUCUAUGAGCAAUCAGCAAUCAAUUUUCAAUGGAGAUUUGUACUUUAAAAUUUAACUUUAAACCUAUUUUCAACACCCUCUAACUAAUAUAUUAAUGAGUUUUUUUUCUCAAUCAAUAGCUCCUACAAGUCAACAACGAUGCCAAAUUAAUACAUUUAUCGUACAGACAAGAGGUUGUUGUUACUUGUUAGAGUUUGUACCUAGGUUUCUCACAAUCUUACUUUGGUAACUAAAAGCAAUUUUUUUUUUGGAAGGAGCUUACAAUUUUUAAAAUAAAGAUGAGUACAAGUGUCUGGACUAUGAAUGAGGUCUUCAGUUGGUUGUAGUUCCAUUUUUACUGAAGCAAGUGGUUGGAUAAUUUAGAAUGUUAAUUUUCUAUGGUAUUACUUGGUAAUAACCAUAAAUUGCUUUGUUCAUUUAUGAAUUUCCAUGGUAUCUUUUUGAUCUGCAGAAUUGUUUGUCUAAUUUUGAAUUUGACAUAUUUUUCAAAUUCCAACAACUUCUUGCAGCUUUUAUAUAAUUAUGGUGUUAAAGAUACUAAAGGAAUCCUUUCAGAUAAGCAUGUCAUGCUUUCAGCAAAAUGUCGGGCGCUAGCUGAACUUCUUCCUGCACUCAGGAGAGAUGGGCAUAGAGUUUUAAUUUUUAGCCAGUGGACUUCAGUGUUAGACAUCUUAGAAUGGACUUUGGAUGUAAUUGGGUUGACAUACAAAAGACUUGAUGGGAGUACCCAGGUGACAGAGAGACAGACCAUAGUUGAUGCUUUCAACAAUAACACUUCUAUAUUUGCAUGCUUGCUAUCGACUAGAGCUGGAGGGCAGGGUUUGAAUUUGACUGGAGCUGAUACUGUUGUUAUCCAUGAUAUGGAUUUCAACCCACAAAUUGAUUGACGGGCAGAAGAUCAAUGUCAUUGCAUUGGCCAAACAAAGCCUGUCACCAUAUACAGGUGCGUCAUCACUCGUCCUGUAUGUGGAAAAAGAGCACGAGAAAAUGAAGAUAAAGGGUACAGUUGAUGAGAAUGUCUAUGUGAUUUGCAAAGCAAAAGCUUAUUUUGGAUGCUGCUUUUAGUCUGGGUGGAGGCGAAUAAUGAGGGUAACGCAUCAGAGAAGAUAACGAGACAGAUACUAUUAUCACUUUUGAUGGGCUAAGAACGUCAACUGCAUCUGAUAGAAACUCAUCAGACAUCUUUUUCCUUUUCAUUUUGUCCUUCCCUUUAUUUGUGUAAUAUCCAUUUUUGUAUUAGUUAGGUCAUAGGUGUGGUAUAGGGGAAGAAAGGGACAGAGGGGAAGGGGGGAAAGAAAGAAAGAAAUGAGAAGGGAAGAUAGAAAAUCAUUUAGGACUGAUAGUGCUUUACCACAAGUGUGUAAUGGCCCUUAAAUUCAUACUGUGGUGAAGGUUAAAUGUCAAUAUGACUUGUUUCAAUCAAAGAUAAGUUUGUAAAGGUAUUAGGAUGACAUUCUUGGGGCCAUGGGACCAAGCUGCCUCAUCCGACACUAUUUGAGCACUUCAUAAUUGUAUCCGUGCUGAAAUUUGCCAGGCAUCGAAGUGCUUCCUCUUCACUCUGUUCAGAAACAAGCUGAAUUUUAGAAGCACAAAUUUUGCUUAUUAGAGAUGAAAUGAGAAGAAAGUUAAAUUAAGUGUGUACAAUCUCAGGAAGGCACAGAGAAAAAGCUAAUUAGUUGGUAAGCGAAGAUAAGGAAUCUCUUCAAACGUUAUACUCGUGAAAUCCUUCCCUUUUAUCUUCCUGUAGGGUGGUAAAACUACGAAGCUUACCUCACUUUGUUACUAUUCCUUUGCUUGUAAUAAAAUUAAACUCCUCCUUUCCUUUUUCUUCAAAGGUACAGUAGUGUUUUUGCUCCUGUUGGUUGUCGUAGAGUGUCUGUACUUUUAGCUUCUAUCCAUAAGAGAAUU